This 460-nucleotide ribosomal RNA is filed under the name uncultured bacterium. Its description in RNAcentral is "partial 16S ribosomal RNA". It matches the Rfam family "Bacterial small subunit ribosomal RNA", at positions 338 to 795 of the family's 1533-position model. The record is from RNAcentral.
CCUACGGGUGGCAGCAGUGAGGAAUAUUGGUCAAUGGACGAGAGUCUGAACCAGCCAAGUAGCGUGAAGGAUGACUGCCCUAUGGGUUGUAAACUUCUUUUAUAUGGGAAUAAAAUGUUCCACGUGUGGGAUUUUGUAUGUACCAUAUGAAUAAGGCUCGGCUAACUCCGUGCCAGCAGCCGCGGUAAUACGGAGGAUCCGAGCGUUAUCCGGAUUUAUUGGGUUUAACGGGAGCGUAGGUGGAUUGUUAAGUCAGUUGUGAAAGUUUGCGGCUCAACCGUAAAAUUGCAGUUGAAACUGGCAGUCUUGAGUACAGUAGAGGUGGGCGGAAUUCGUGGUGUAGCGGUGAAAUGCUUAGAUAUCACGAAGAACUCCGAUUGCGAAGGCAGUUCACUGGACUGCAACUGACACUGAGGCUCGAAAGUGUGGGUAUCAAACAGGAUUAGAUACCCUUGUAGUC